Molecule: long non-coding RNA, 1026 nt
Filed under: Felis catus (domestic cat)
Lineage: Eukaryota; Metazoa; Chordata; Mammalia; Carnivora; Felidae
Description: lncRNA (ENSFCAG00000050495.1)
Source: RNAcentral
GAGACAAGGGCGAGGCCAGCUCCCCACCUCCCUCGGGGCCCUGCGGCCGCUGCCGAAGGAAGCCACCCUCGGUCUGUCUGGUUACGAGAAUGCGCUCAGGCCUUUCGAGCGGGCUUUCUGUCACUCGCCACCAAGAGUCCUGAUGAACGGCACGGUCUAAUCAGACCCUCUCUUCGACUACAACAGCUGAACUUCCCGGAGGGUGUGCUUUGCGUCUCUAACUAGACGUGAACUCCUCAAGGAUAGAAACCCACAGCACGCAUUUCCAAUCGCCCUGAGCGUCUAACACACAGCGAAGCACACAUUUGGGGGAGAAUUUAUGGAGCGUUUGCUGGGUGCGGGGCGUCGUGCUAGGCGCUUUUACGUGACGUAUGUCAUCCCGACCUUCGGGGAAACCUGUAAGGCGCAUAGUACUGUCAACGUUCAAAAUGAUCAAACUCUGUCCACGUCGCUCCCAAGCCAGUAACAGCUCGAGCCGGUGCCAUUGGCCCAGACUGUCGGUGGCAUUGGCUCCUGGGGCUUCCGCUCAUCCCGUUAGGCUCCAACUUAGGGUUCCGGCUGUAGUAAAGGGGACACGUCAUUCCUCCCGGGCUGACCUGCCGUGACCAGGGGCGAUGAGGAGACCAGCCAGGGCCAGUCUGGACUCUGUGGGCAGGAGAGCACUUUUGAGCAAAGUUCAUCGCUGGCAGUACAAAGUCGCGGCCCGUAGAGGCUUCCACGUCGUUGCCGCCCGCUCAGAGGGCUGCCGGGGGGCUCCCGGGGGGCAGGGAAAGUCCGCGGACCACUGUUCCCAGCUGGUCCCCCUGCCUCCACCCCAGGGCAAGACCGUCAGAACGUCUCUGGACUCCAGCUGGAAUCCCAAGACCCCUGCAGCCUGGCAUCUUGGGACGAGAAGGAGGUCCGGUAAAUGUUCCUCCUCCUGACAUCCCCUUGGUUCGUCUGCCCGAGGGGCUGGGCGCCGACCGCAACCCCACUGCCAGGCGCCCAGAGGAGGGCCCCGUCCGCCAGGGCUCCCCGUCACCGAGG